CAGUCGAGCGAGCGGAACUAAAGAUUUACUUCGGUAAUGACGUUAGGAAAGCGAGCGGCGGAUGGGUGAGUAACACGUGGGGAACCUGCCCCAUAGUCUGGGAUACCACUUGGAAACAGGUGCUAAUACCGGAUAAGAAAGCAGAUCGCAUGAUCAGCUUUUAAAAGGCGGCGUAAGCUGUCGCUAUGGGAUGGCCCCGCGGUGCAUUAGCUAGUUGGUAAGGUAAAGGCUUACCAAGGCGAUGAUGCAUAGCCGAGUUGAGAGACUGAUCGGCCACAUUGGGACUGAGACACGGCCCAAACUCCUACGGGAGGCAGCAGUAGGGAAUCUUCCACAAUGGACGCAAGUCUGAUGGAGCAACGCCGCGUGAGUGAAGAAGGUUUUCGGAUCGUAAAGCUCUGUUGUUGGUGAAGAAGGAUAGAGGUAGUAACUGGCCUUUAUUUGACGGUAAUCAACCAGAAAGUCACGGCUAACUACGUGCCAGCAGCCGCGGUAAUACGUAGGUGGCAAGCGUUGUCCGGAUUUAUUGGGCGUAAAGCGAGCGCAGGCGGAAGAAUAAGUCUGAUGUGAAAGCCCUCGGCUUAACCGAGGAACUGCAUCGGAAACUGUUUUUCUUGAGUGCAGAAGAGGAGAGUGGAACUCCAUGUGUAGCGGUGGAAUGCGUAGAUAUAUGGAAGAACACCAGUGGCGAAGGCGGCUCUCUGGUCUGCAACUGACGCUGAGGCUCGAAAGCAUGGGUAGUGAACAGGAUUAGAUACCCUGGUAGUCCAUGCC
RNAcentral lists this ribosomal RNA (774 nucleotides) under uncultured bacterium. RNAcentral describes it as "bacterial SSU rRNA". It matches the Rfam family "Bacterial small subunit ribosomal RNA", at positions 59 to 801 of the family's 1533-position model. The record is from RNAcentral.